GAGAUAACUCCUACGGGAGGCAGCAGUGGGGAAUAUUGGACAAUGGGCGCAAGCCUGAUCCAGCCAUGCCGCGUGUGUGAUGAAGGCCUUAGGGUUGUAAAGCACUUUCACCGGAGAAGAUAAUGACGGUAUCCGGAGAAGAAGCCCCGGCUAACUUCGUGCCAGCAGCCGCGGUAAUACGAAGGGGGCUAGCGUUGUUCGGAAUUACUGGGCGUAAAGCGCACGUAGGCGGAUAUUUAAGUCAGGGGUGAAAUCCCAGAGCUCAACUCUGGAACUGCCUUUGAUACUGGGUAUCUUGAGUAUGGAAGAGGUAAGUGGAAUUGCGAGUGUAGAGGUGAAAUUCGUAGAUAUUCGCAGGAACACCAGUGGCGAAGGCGGCUUACUGGUCCAUAACUGACGCUGAGGUGCGAAAGCGUGGGGAGCAAACAGGAUUAGAAACCCGUGUAGUCCUCCACU
RNAcentral lists this ribosomal RNA (456 nucleotides) under uncultured bacterium. RNAcentral's name for it is "bacterial SSU rRNA". It matches the Rfam family "Bacterial small subunit ribosomal RNA", at positions 329 to 803 of the family's 1533-position model. The record is from RNAcentral.